Molecule: ribosomal RNA, 465 nt
Filed under: uncultured bacterium
Lineage: Bacteria
Description: partial 16S ribosomal RNA
Rfam family: Bacterial small subunit ribosomal RNA
Source: RNAcentral
CCUACGGGUGGCAGCAGUGGGGAAUAUUGCGCAAUGGCCGAAAGCCUGACGCAGCGACGCCGCGUGAGGGAUGAAGGUCCUCGGAUCGUAAACCUCUGUCUGCAGGGAAGUACGGUUACUGUGCUAAUCAGCAGUGCAUUGACGGUACCUGCAAACGUCGCAUCGGCUAGCUCCGUGCCAGCCGCCGAGGUAAUACGGAGGGGGCGAGCGUUAAUAGGAAUGACUGGGUGUAAAGCGCGCGUAGGCGGUAUGUCAAGUCAAGGGUGAAAUCCCCGGGCUCAACGUGGGAACUGCCUUUGAAACUGGCAAACUGGAGUGUGUGUGAGGAUAGUGGAAUGCCAGGUGUAGGGGUGAAAUGCGUAGAUAUCAGGAGGAACAUCAGUGGCGAAGGUGACUAUCUGGCACAUAACUGACGCUGAGGAGCGAAAGCGUGGGUAGCAAACAGGAUUAGAUACCCUGGUAGUC